CAAUAUUAACAUUAGGUGGUUUAUAACAUAUCCCAACCAAUAGUUGUUUUCCCUUCUUUUCCCCCAAGCAGAUAUUUACCCAUAAAGCUUCCACAUUAUCCUCCUCGCAUUCCAUUUGCUUAACAUUUGGCUUUAAAUCAUGUUUGACAUACAAACAUACCCCACCACCCUUCUUGUUUUUCCUAUCCUUCCUAAAUAACAUGUACCCAUUUAAGUUAGCUGCCCAGUCAUGUGUCUCAUCCCACCAUGUUUCAGUUAUGCCUAUUAUAUCAUAUUGUUUAGUGUAUGCUAAUGCCUCUAGUUCCC
This is a non-coding RNA of Pelobates cultripes (western spadefoot toad), 306 nucleotides long. The record is from the annotation of a GenBank genome assembly. Lineage: Eukaryota; Metazoa; Chordata; Amphibia; Anura; Pelobatidae.